RNAcentral lists this ribosomal RNA (460 nucleotides) under uncultured bacterium. RNAcentral describes it as "partial 16S ribosomal RNA". It matches the Rfam family "Bacterial small subunit ribosomal RNA", at positions 338 to 795 of the family's 1533-position model. The record is from RNAcentral.
CCUACGGGGGGCAGCAGUGAGGAAUAUUGGUCAAUGGACGAGAGUCUGAACCAGCCAAGUAGCGUGAAGGAUGACUGCCCUAUGGGUUGUAAACUUCUUUUAUAUGGGAAUAAAACGUUCCACGUGUGGGAUUUUGUAUGUACCAUAUGAAUAAGGAUCGGCUAACUCCGUUCCAGCAGCCGCGGUAAUACGGAGGAUCCGAGCGUUAUCCGGAUUUAUUGGGUUUAAAGGGAGCGUAGGUGGAUUGUUAAGUCAGUUGUGAAAGUUUGCGGCUCAACCGUAAAAUUGCAGUUGAAACUGGCAGUCUUGAGUACAGUAGAGGUGGGCGGAAUUCGUGGUGUAGCGGUGAAAUGCUUAGAUAUCACGAAGAACUCCGAUUGCGAAGGCAGUUCACUGGACUGCAACUGACACUGAGGCUCGAAAGUGUGGGUAUCAAACAGGAUUAGAUACCCCAGUAGUC